GCUACCAUGUAAACAUGGAAAUCAUGCAACCAUCAGAAUAAAAGAACCUAUCAGAAGCACAUAUCAAAUCAUGCAACCAUCAGAAUAAAAGAUUUUUACAGUUCUAUCACCAUAGUCAUGUCAUUAAAAAGAGACAUAUCCUACAUAAACAUAUAUAUCAAGCCUAAACAAGUAGUAAACAUGUUUACACCCCAUGAGCAGCCAAGAAGCAAGAAGCAAUAGCCAGUACUACUGCCUCAAGCCCUUGAACACAAAAAGGCGAGAACUGGAUGCAGAGGUUUAUCGAUCGAUUCCCGCGUUGUCGUUGGCUGCAACAAGGACCAAAAAGAAGAAAAAAAAAGAACACCCUCUCAAAGAAAUUCGCCGCUCCUGGAUCAGCGCCACAAGGCAGGGAAGGGAUCGAUAAACCACUGCGCCCAGGCAUCACCACCAACCCCCCACCCCCACCUGCGAACAUGAUGGAUUAGCGCAAGAAACCGGAACAAAACAAGAACGGAACACAGAGCCACCUGCAAGAUCGGGCACGAACGAACACUCGUGGGUGUGAAUCUGUGUUUCUCGUGUGUGCAAUGAGGAAGG
RNAcentral lists this non-coding RNA (579 nucleotides) under Oryza sativa Indica Group (long-grained rice). Lineage: Eukaryota; Viridiplantae; Streptophyta; Magnoliopsida; Poales; Poaceae. RNAcentral also lists the same sequence under 1 other name. The record is from RNAcentral.